Molecule: long non-coding RNA, 210 nt
Filed under: Physcomitrium patens
Lineage: Eukaryota; Viridiplantae; Streptophyta; Bryopsida; Funariales; Funariaceae
Description: long non-coding RNA (PPAT_LNC012100)
Source: RNAcentral
GAUUUAGGGUUUAAGAUUUAGUUAGAAUUUGAUUUAGAAUAAGAAUUUGGUUAGGAUUUGAUUUGGGAUUAGGAUUUGGUUUAGGAAUUAGAGUUUGGUUUAUGACUUAAGAUUUUAUUAGGAUUUGAUUUAGGGUUAAUGUCAUAGACAUAGAAAUAUAUGCUCGAGAUCUAACAAGAAGUUCAAGAAGAAUUGGUAAGAACUAGAUUA